CUUGUGUAAAGAACAAAUGAUUAUAAUCGAAAAUUGAAAAAUUGAUGUCGAAACUUGAAGUUUGAAGAAGAUUCCUACUCCAAAAUUCACCAAAUGAUUGUUGAAAUCUUCACAAUUACAAAAUAAUAUGAUUGAAAUUUGAAACUUGAAUAUUGAAAGUAUGAAACUUUGAGAAAGAUUGAGAAUUGAGAGAAAUUGAUGAUUCUUAAUUGUUAA
Molecule: long non-coding RNA, 216 nt
Filed under: Solanum tuberosum (potato)
Lineage: Eukaryota; Viridiplantae; Streptophyta; Magnoliopsida; Solanales; Solanaceae
Description: long non-coding RNA (STUB_LNC007305)
Source: RNAcentral